Molecule: RNA transcript, 4102 nt
Organism: Colossoma macropomum (tambaqui)
Lineage: Eukaryota; Metazoa; Chordata; Actinopteri; Characiformes; Serrasalmidae
Gene: ice2
Gene name: interactor of little elongator complex ELL subunit 2
Exons: 15
Source: RefSeq, a predicted model, not a curated record
UUUGACUGUAGCAUGAGUGUCAUGCUUGCUAACGUUAGCGCUGCUGCGCUGAGUGUCUGUACAGUCUAAAUAAACCAGUCUGAAUCAAACACACACACAUGGAGCUGAAGUGGGAUGAGGUUCCUGCAAGCAGCCCUGUCCCGUUUUCCAAGGACACCUUUGACAAAUUCUCUCUGGCGCCCACAAUAAAAGAGCUAUGGUCUCUUUUACAGAGUCCUGAUGUAAAAGUUGAAGUGAAAGAAGAAAGUAAGGUCAGACCAGCUGGUUCCUCCUCAAAACCAUCCAAAAACAGUACAGUCACACCACAGAACAGCAGCAGAAACAGCCAUGGCUCUGCUGGCUCCACUUCAGACUGCAGUGACACUCCUACUGAUUAUAAGAAUAAUCUGACUGAGACGAAGGAAAAUGAAGGAUUCCCCAAUCCAAAAGUGCCCUAUCCUUGCUACUCAGCCAUCAACCACAAAGAGCGACUGGCUUACCUACGGUUACUAAAGAAUAAAAACUACCACACAGCUCCACAAAAAGUGAUGAACGAGAUUGCAGAGUUUAUGAAGUAUCUGCAGGAUGUCUCCAAAGUAUGUGCUGAUGACUACAAGUACAUGCCCCUGGGAACCCCUCGCUACUUAGAGGAAUAUUUUAAAGCCUGCUUGGACUAUAUGAUGAACUAUCCACAGAUUUACUGCAUCCAAGAAAUCACCAGCCUGACUGGGGGAAAGUAUGUGUCUGACAUUUCCCUCAACUUUGAGAAACAGCUGCUUGCAAUGGGCAACAUAGAGAUUGUGGAAAAAAAGAUGCUGCCAGAAGAAACUAAACUGUCUGUGGAUUAUGACUCUGUUUCAGCUAUGAUUUCUCCAUAUAAAAAGGCCAGUCAGUUUCACAGAGCUAUCAGCAGUGACACAAAUGCAGAGAAGCUCAGUGCUAUAUAUGAGCCUCAUGUGUGUCUAGCAAAGGAAGCCUUCCUCCAGCUCCUGAACAACAGUGCUGGGUAUACAGAAGCAUGGGAGCUACCAGUCUGGGUGAAAGAAAACCCUGGAAAAUGUAGCAGUCAGAGUAAAACGGUGUACAUCGACCCUCCUCUGCUGAAGACGCAGAUAACCUGGAGAGAGAGAAAUCAUCUCAUUCAUGAGGAGAGUGUAAAACUAGCAUACAAGAAGACAGGCUCAAAUCCUGUGUUUUUUCUCCUAACAGAGGACUAUUCCAAUAAAACAGACUUUGCCCCAGAGGGAAAAAAAUCCAGGGCAGUUGUUUCAUUUGAUGACACCAGCAUAGACUUUGAAGUGGAUGUAACUGAACUGGAGUCAUUUGGGGAGUCCUACCAACUCAGUAAAAAAGUAAAAGGCCAUGAUGAAUCUAAAGCCCUUUCUAAAAAUCAAACAUUAGGAUUAUCAAAACCUAAAUUAGGCUCAGAUAAACAUGUUCUGGCUGGAGCUUCCACACCUGAAGACAUUUCUAUGUCAUCCCAUGCAUUACCAAAGGAAGAAUUGAAAGAAGAAGCAGUCAAGACGGAUGUAAGGGACAGCUCAACAGACAAGAGUACUGAGGAUAUUUUGAACACUGUAUCUGAAGACCCCAUGAAUAAUAGUUCCUCUGUAGAAGAGUGCUCCAGUUCUGAAUGUCCUCCAACAAAGCGGAUAAGGCACAACUCUGUGUACAGUUCAGACCACAGUAUGGAUUCUGAUGAGGAACGCCUUGUUAUUGAUCACCCAGGGUCCCCACCGUACCGUGUAGCUGAAAAGACCCAGAUGGCUCCACCUGCUCCAGGGAGCAUCACUGAUGGCAACAAUGAAAAGACUUCAGAUCCCACCACGCCCUUGAGUCCUACUGCCUCCGCCAAAAGAGCUAAGAAAGGAACGAAAAGGUCCAGAGUCUCUGGGGACUGUGACCAACUAGGGCACAUUUUGCGAAUGCAGAAUGCCAUGCUGAAAUCCACCAUGAGCAAGGGCCAAGAGCCUUCAAAAGCACAAACCUCGGAGUGUAGACCCUCAGAGCCCAAAUUAAACAGCCACCCUCACUCUUUGGUCAAGCCCUGUGUGUCCUCCUACCUGGACUCUGGAGAAGGCCUGGAUGAAGAGGCUGCAACUCCUACCAUCUGUCAACCCACAGUGCAAAAGAAACGGCUGCUGAGAGAGGAGCUGCUGGUGAGCGCAGAGGAUGAGAAAGACUACGAGGCUCCAGAGGAAGCCAGUGUGCUCUAUAAGCUCUACAGCCUGCUAGACGUGCUGCUGAUGGUGCGCAGCACCGUAGACAUCGCCCACCCUAGACAUGAUCCAGGCACCUUCAGGGCUGUGCCAGUGCACGUGCUGCCUAAGAUGGAGUACCAGCUGUGUUACGGAGCCGAGAGCCUUACCCACACUGAGGCAUGCCUUCUCUGGGCUGAGCAGCUCCUCCACUCCAGCACGGCCUCUUUCAUAGGGCGCAUUAAUGCACACACAUCGAAAGUGGUGCAGCUGCAGGAGCUCUCGGCUGACUGGAUCCAGAACACCUCCUGUGAUUUCAAGCCAGCUAGGUGCUUGAAUACUCUCUAUCACAUAUUGAAAAAAGUCACGGGCUUACAGGAGGGGAGGUACCUGUUGGGCCACAAACCUGGUGAGGCAGUUGUGACCAUCUUCAAAGCCAGUGAUGAAAAGAAACCCAGUCGUAGUAUCUAUGACCUUCAAGUGGUGCACUCUGGUCCCCCAGCGGUCCCUCUGGAGGACAAGGUGCCCUGGGUUCCACUGGACCCAUUCCAUCUAAUGCCUUUCCAUCAGAAAUACAAAAGACCACCUUGCACCUUCCCCCCACGCCCACCCCCACAGCAAAAGGUAUGAUGAAUGGAAUAGCUCUUUCCAGUUCAGAAAGAUAUACAUUUUUAAAUUACUAAAUCUAAUAAAUUUUAAAUGAAAUGGGCAUCAUUGUUAAUUUUUGAUUCUUGGCUCAUUUGAUAUGAAGCUGCAACCUGGGCAUAGUUAUUAAAUAAGGUGCAAUUUCAAGAUUCUUUUUAGAUGCAAAGCACUUCCUGAACCUUAUAUGUAACCCACUAACUCAUGUUACUGUUCAUUUAAAUAGCACCCCUCCAAGUCAUAACUGGCUGAUAUAAUACCAAAUUUAAAAAAAAAUAUACAUUAAUUUAUAAUUUUUAAAGUUAUAAUUGAGAUUAUAAUCCUCAGUGGUGAGGAAAUUUGCUAAAAAUAUUGUAGUUGCACACCAUCUUGUUAUCAGUUUGACCACUACAAAAGCCUCCUGCAAGCAUUAAUAUAACCUGAAAAACAAAUGUAUUUUACAGUGUUGAUCAUUCAGUGUGUAUAUGUAAGUUAUUUUUCUUGUCAGCUAAUUAAUUGAAAGUGAAAUUGUAGUCACUGCCCAGAUUUAGUGGGCUUGGUAGAACACCAGCAAUGGGUGCUAUAGACGAAACUCUGUCACACUGUAUGUCCUUGUUUAUGUUCAUAGCCAUUCAAGAUAAUCUAUGGAAGAUACAGUCUGAUAAUGUGCUUAGAAGAGGCAUAUAUUUCACAGCCCUGCACACCUAGCCAAGAUAAACAGACUUCUCUGAGGGGCUGCCUUUCCCAGCAUACUGUUCACUGCCCAACCCUGACAACAGAAGCAUGUCCAGAUCUGUUAUCAGAUCUGCCAGGCCACUCAUUUCAUCCUGUUGCCUGUCAUCCUGUUCUCCUCCUCGUUUCUCUGUAACCUCACUUUCUCUUUAGUCACACAGUCUUGGAUUCUUAUUCAGUAAUUUGUUAACAUAACAAGCACUGACUGCGGCUGGUGGGGUGGCCGAAGCCCUCUAACAAUAAUGGUUACAAGUAAGAGUCUCUGAAGAAUUCAGACCAAUUCUUUACUUCUACAAACCUCUUCCAGCGAGGGCUUUUAUUGCUGCAGGCCCUGAGGAUAGCAGCCACACCUUCCCGCCAUGAAAAACCAAUCAGGUCAGAGUCUAUCCUUAGGUAGCAUUCUAUGUAAAGCAGAUAAUGCAGGUCAUAUCUGUGACUUCACAGGGACACAAUGAAGGCAGGAAGGGGUAAAGGAGGAAAGCAAGGUAACACUCCAACCAGACCCACACAAGGGGCCCAAAACUCUUCAGCAGUUGCCAGUCAAAGUCAGGAGAAGAAGAAGAAGAGGAAGA